GUGCUCACUUCGGCAGCACAUCUACUAAAAUUGGACCAACACAGAGAAAGUUAGUAUGUCCCCUAUACAGGGAUGACACACAAAUUUGUGAAGGAAGUUGUGUGGUC
RNAcentral lists this small nuclear RNA (107 nucleotides) under Catagonus wagneri (Chacoan peccary). Lineage: Eukaryota; Metazoa; Chordata; Mammalia; Artiodactyla; Tayassuidae. The record is from RNAcentral.